UCUGGUUGAUCCUGCCAGUAGUUAUAUGCUUGUCUCAAAGAUUAAGCCAUGCAUGUCUAAGUACACACGAAUUAAAAGUGAAACCGCAAAAGGCUCAUUAUAUCAGUUAUGGUUCCUUAGAUCGUUAACAGUUACUUGGAUAACUGUGGUAAUUCUAGAGCUAAUACAUGCAAUUAAAACAUGAACCUUAUGGAACAUGUGCUUUUAUUAGGCUAAAACCAAGCGAUCGCAAGAUCGUUAUAUUGGUUGAACUCUAGAUAACAUGCAGAUCGUAUGGUCUUGUACCGACGACAGAUCUUUCAAAUGUCUGCCCUAUCAACUUUUGAUUGGUAGUAUCUAGGACUACCAUGGUUGCAACGGGUAACGGGGAAUCAGGGUUCGAUUCCGGAGAGGGAGCCUGAGAAACGGCUACCACAUCUAAGGAAGGCAGCAGGCGCGUAAAUUACCCACUCCCAGCUCGGGGAGGUAGUGACGAAAAAUAACAAAUACAGGACUCAUAUCCGAGGCCCUGUAAUUGGAAUGAGUACACUUUAAAUCCUUUAACAAGGACCAAUUGGAGGGCAAGUCUGGUGCCAGCAGCCGCGGUAAUUCCAGCUCCAAUAGCGUAUAUUAAAGUUGUUGCGGUUAAAACGUUCGUAGUUGAACUUGUGCUUCAUACGGGUAGUACAACUUACAAUUGUGGUUAGUACUAUACCUUUAUGUAUGUAAGCGUAUUACCGGUGGAGUUCUUACAUGUGCUUAGAUACUUGUAUUUUUUCAUAUGUUCCUCCUAUUUAAAAACCUGCAUUAGUGCUCUUAAACGAGUGUUAUUGUGGGCCGGUACAAUUACUUUGAACAAAUUAGAGUGCUUAAAGCAAGCUUCAAAUGCCUGAAUAUUCUGUGCAUGGGAUAAUGAAAUAAGACCUCUGUUCUGCUUUCAUUGGUUUUCAGAUCAAGAGGUAAUGAUUAAUAGAAGCAGUUUGGGGGCAUUAGUAUUACGACGCGAGAGGUGAAAUUCUUGGACCGUCGUAAGACUAACUUAAGCGAAAGCAUUUGCCAAAGAUGUUUUCAUUAAUCAAGAACGAAAGUUAGAGGUUCGAAGGCGAUCAGAUACCGCCCUAGUUCUAACCAUAAACGAUGCCAGCUAGCAAUUGGGUGUAGC
Molecule: ribosomal RNA, 1141 nt
Filed under: Drosophila biarmipes
Lineage: Eukaryota; Metazoa; Arthropoda; Insecta; Diptera; Drosophilidae
Description: SSU rRNA
Rfam family: Eukaryotic small subunit ribosomal RNA
Source: RNAcentral